UUGAAACACAGAAGAGAAGCUGCCUAAAUUCAAGAGCCUUCAUCAAGUAGCUGAUGGAAGCACAAGCAGACACCACAGCUAAACACUGGUCCAAACUCCUGGAACCCAUAUCAUCUAUCUUUUGUGUCCCGUUCAACUGCUGUCUAGUGCUGCUAAAGCCAUCGCGGAUAUGUUACCUAACUUUUUUUAUUAGUGGAAGAAUAUUCCCACUGCUCCACUGAGGCCUACAGAAAGGUGAAGGGAGAAGCGUGCUGGAUAGAAAGAACAGGAGUUGCUCAGUGUGUGUCGGCAUCCAGCCACAGGUCAGCUGGGUCCUGCUCAGCUGUCACAGCAAAGAGACUACUGUGCAGAGCUGUAGCCUCAAGGGAAGCUGACUCCCUUCUCAAGUCACUGCCAGAACCUGGAAGCAACCUAGAUGCCCCUCAACUGAAGAAUGGAUAGAGAAAAUGUGGUACAUUUAUACAAUGGAGUACUACUCAGCAGAAAAAAGCAAUGGAAUCUUGAAAUUCAC
Molecule: long non-coding RNA, 511 nt
Filed under: Cricetulus griseus (Chinese hamster)
Lineage: Eukaryota; Metazoa; Chordata; Mammalia; Rodentia; Cricetidae
Description: lncRNA (ENSCGRG00015035779.1)
Source: RNAcentral